AACGAACGCUGGCGGCAGGCCUAACACAUGCAAGUCGAACGCAUCCUUCGGGGUGAGUGGCGCACGGGUGAGUAACACGUGGGAAUGUACCCUUUGGUUCGGAAUAACGUUUGGAAACGAACGCUAAUACCGGAUGAGCCCUACGGGGGAAAGACUUAUCGCCAAAGGAGCAGCCCGCGUCUGAUUAGCUAGUUGGUGGGGUAAAGGCCUACCAAGGCGACGAUCAGUAGCUGGUCUGAGAGGAUGAUCAGCCACACUGGGACUGAGACACGGCCCAGACUCCUACGGGAGGCAGCAGUGGGGAAUAUUGGACAAUGGGCGCAAGCCUGAUCCAGCCAUGCCGCGUGAGUGAUGAAGGCCUUCGGGUUGUAAAGCUCUUUCGCACGCGACGAUGAUGACGGUAGCGUGAGAAGAAGCCCCGGCUAACUUCGUGCCAGCAGCCGCGGUAA
Molecule: ribosomal RNA, 449 nt
Filed under: uncultured bacterium
Lineage: Bacteria
Description: partial 16S ribosomal RNA
Rfam family: Bacterial small subunit ribosomal RNA
Source: RNAcentral